Long non-coding RNA from Oryctolagus cuniculus (rabbit), 190 nucleotides. It matches the Rfam family "Vax2os1 conserved region 3". The record is from Rfam. NCBI's taxonomy places the organism in Eukaryota, Metazoa, Chordata, Mammalia, Lagomorpha, Leporidae.
GUUCUCUGUUCUGUCCCGCCGGGGUGUCCUUCCUCGAAUACUUUGGUUAUCGAUCCUGCUGAGCGGCCGGAGCUCGGAGACCGCGCGUCCCUGGGGACGCAGGGAGUGCGGAAGCCAGCAGGCUGGUGGCGAGGGGAGGAGAGGCUGACCAACUUUGGGAGAGGGUGUCGAUUGUACUCUGGGGCCGCCC